Molecule: ribosomal RNA, 647 nt
Filed under: Escherichia coli
Lineage: Bacteria; Pseudomonadati; Pseudomonadota; Gammaproteobacteria; Enterobacterales; Enterobacteriaceae
Description: partial 23S ribosomal RNA
Rfam family: Bacterial large subunit ribosomal RNA
Source: RNAcentral
GAACCUGAAACCGUGUACGUACAAGCAGUGGGAGCACGCUUCGGCGUGUGACUGCGUACCUUUUGUAUAAUGGGUCAGCGACUUAUAUUCUGUAGCAAGGUUAACCGAAUAGGGGAGCCGAAGGGAAACCGAGUCUUAACUGGGCGUUAAGUUGCAGGGUAUAGACCCGAAACCCGGUGAUCUAGCCAUGGGCAGGUUGAAGGUUGGGUAACACUAACUGGAGGACCGAACCGACUAAUGUUGAAAAAUUAGCGGAUGACUUGUGGCUGGGGGUGAAAGGCCAAUCAAACCGGGAGAUAGCUGGUUCUCCCCGAAAGCUAUUUAGGUAGCGCCUCGUGAAUUCAUCUCCGGGGGUAGAGCACUGUUUCGGCAAGGGGGUCAUCCCGACUUACCAACCCGAUGCAAACUGCGAAUACCGGAGAAUGUUAUCACGGGAGACACACGGCGGGUGCUAACGUCCGUCGUGAAGAGGGAAACAACCCAGACCGCCAGCUAAGGUCCCAAAGUCAUGGUUAAGUGGGAAACGAUGUGGGAAGGCCCAGACAGCCAGGAUGUUGGCUUAGAAGCAGCCAUCAUUUAAAGAAAGCGUAAUAGCUCACUGGUCGAGUCGGCCUGCGCGGAAGAUGUAACGGGGCUAAACCAUGCAC